This 30-nucleotide non-coding RNA is filed under the name Mus musculus (house mouse). The record is from RNAcentral. Lineage: Eukaryota; Metazoa; Chordata; Mammalia; Rodentia; Muridae.
UAAGAUCUCUUAUUGGUGUCUCCAAAAUGU